AGUAUCAUGUUGUAGACCCGAAACCAUGUGACCUACCCAUGAGCAGGUUGAAGGUGAGGUAAAACUCACUGGAGGACCGAACCAGGGCACGUUGAAAAGUGCUUGGAUGACUUGUGGGUAGCGGAGAAAUUCCAAACGAACUUGGAGAUAGCUGGUUCUCUCCGAAAUAGCUUUAGGGCUAGCGUCGAUGUUAAGUCUCUUGGAGGUAGAGCACUGUUUGGGUGAGGGGUCCAUCCCGGAUUACCAAUCUCAGAUAAACUCCGAAUGCCAACGAGAUAUAAUCGGCAGUCAGACUGCGAGUGCUAAGAUCCGUAGUCGAAAGGGAAACAGCCCAGACCACCAGCUAAGGUCCCAAAAUAUAUGUUAAGUGGAAAAGGAUGUGGGGUUGCACAGACAACUAGGAUGUUAGCUUAGAAGCAGCUAUUCAUUCAAAGAGUGCGUAAUAGCUCACUAGUCGAGUGACCCUGCGCCGAAAAUGUACCGGGGCUAAAACAUAUUACCGAAGCUGUGGAUGACACAAAAGUGUCAUGGUAGGAGAGCGUUCUAUGUGUGAAGAAGGUGUACCGUGAGGAGCGCUGGAACGCAUAGAAGUGAGAAUGCCGGUAUGAGUAGCGCAAGACAGGUGAGAAUCCUGUCCACCGUAAGACUAAGGUUUCCAGGGGAAGGCUCGUCCGCCCUGGGUUAGUCGGGACCUAAGGAGAGACCGAAAGGUGUAUCCGAUGGACAACAGGUUGAUAUUCCUGUACUAGAGUAUAUAGUGAUGGAGGGACGCAGUAGGCUAACUAAACCAGACGAUUGGAAGUGUCUGGUCAAACAGUGAGGUGUGAUAUGAGUCAAAUGCUUAUAUCUUUAACAUUGAGCUGUGACGAGGAGCGAAGUUUAGUAGCGAAGUUAGUGAUGUCACACUGCCAAGAAAAGCUUCUAGCGAUACAUAUACUCUACCCGUACCGCAAACCGACACAGGUAGUCGAGGCGAGUAGCCUCAGGUGAGCGAGAGAACUCUCGUUAAGGAACUCGGCAAAAUGGCCCCGUAACUUCGGGAGAAGGGGCGCUGAUUUUAGAUCAGCCGCAGUGAAUAGGCCCAAGCAACUGUUUAUCAAAAACACAGCUCUCUGCUAAUCGUAAGAUGAUGUAUAGGGGGUGACGCCUGCCCGGUGCUGGAAGGUUAAGAGGAGUGCUUAGCGUAAGCGAAGGUAUGAAUUGAAGCCCCAGUAAACGGCGGCCGUAACUAUAACGGUCCUAAGGUAGCGAAAUUCCUUGUCGGGUAAGUUCCGACCCGCACGAAAGGCGUAAUGAUUUGGGCACUGUCUCAACGAGAGACUCGGUGAAAUUUUAGUACCUGUGAAGAUGCAGGUUACCCGCGACAGGACGGAAAGACCCCAUGGAGCUUUACUGCAGUUUGAUAUUGAGUAUCUGUACCACAUGUACAGGAUAGGUAGGAGCCUAUGAUAACGGGACGCCAGUUUCGUUUGAGGCGUUGUUGGGAUACUACCCUUGUGUUAUGGCUACUCUAACCCAGAUAGGCAAUCCCUAUCGGAGACAGUGUCUGACGGGCAGUUUGACUGGGGCGGUCGCCUCCUAAAAGGUAACGGAGGCGCCCAAAGGUUCCCUCAGACUGGUUGGAAAUCAGUCGUAGAGUGUAAAGGUAUAAGGGAGCUUGACUGCGAGAGCUACAACUCGAGCAGGGACGAAAGUCGGGCUUAGUGAUCCGGUGGUUCCGUAUGGAAGGGCCAUCGCUCAACGGAUAAAAGCUACCCUGGGGAUAACAGGCUUAUCUCCCCCAAGAGUUCACAUCGACGGGGAGGUUUGGCACCUCGAUGUCGGCUCGUCGCAUCCUGGGGCUGUAGUCGGUCCCAAGGGUUGGGCUGUUCGCCCAUUAAAGCGGCACGCGAGCUGGGUUCAGAACGUCGUGAGACAGUUCGGUCCCUAUCCGUCGCGGGCGUAGGAAAUUUGAGAGGAUCUGCUCCUAGUACGAGAGGACCAGAGUGGACUUACCGCUGGUGUACCAGUUGUCUUGCCAAAGGCAUCGCUGGGUAGCUAUGUAGGGAAGGGAUAAGCGCUGAAAGCAUCUAAGUGCGAAGCCCACCUCAAGAUGAGAUUUCCCAUGAUUUUAUAUCAGUAAGAGCCCUGAGAGAUGAUCAGGUAGAUAGGUUAGGAGUGUAAUUGUGGUGACACAUUUAGCGGACUAAUACUAAUAGCUCGAGGACUUAUCCAAAA
RNAcentral lists this ribosomal RNA (2217 nucleotides) under Streptococcus agalactiae GB00975. RNAcentral describes it as "bacterial LSU rRNA". It matches the Rfam family "Bacterial large subunit ribosomal RNA", at positions 698 to 2925 of the family's 2925-position model. The record is from RNAcentral. Lineage: Bacteria; Bacillati; Bacillota; Bacilli; Lactobacillales; Streptococcaceae.